ACCUCGCGGGAACCCGGGACCUACCGCUUCGUCCACCUCCCGCGCGCCCCAGGCCCCGGGUUGGGGUGCAGGGGGCGCAGGGGUUGGUCGGGCCAGCGCCGCAGCUCCGGCCCCGGAGUCUCUCCGCCUUCACAAGGAAGCGGAGGGGAUCUGGCUCCGUCCAUUUCCUCAUCCUCUGCGUACCUGCGGACCAGGAAACUCCUGGAUCGAGGCUGGCAUCUUUCCGGCCCAAGCAGGCUCAGCCCAUGGAGAUCUCACAGUGGCAACAUCCUAGGUCCCAGCCUGCGCCGCACCCUCCCCAGGGUUCUAGGCCCUGAUUCUGACCACAUGUCCCCACCUGGAUGCGGCCUGGGCACUCCUGCACCUGCCUGUGGGGUUUGGGCCACCAGCCUGUGUGGCCUUCUCCAUCACCUGCAGCUGCUCCUCUCGGCCAGACAGGACUUUCUUCUGCUGCUGCACGGAGGAGCUUUCCCCAGCACCUGGGCCAGGUGAGCUUCCAGGUCCCAGCCAUCCCGCCACCUGGCAAUACCUGGCCGAGCUUGGAGAUUAGGGGCUGAAAUAUCUUCUAUUAAAAAUAGAACAGGGGGUCGGGUGCGGUGGCUCACCAGCGCUUUGGGAGGCCCAGGUGGGUGGAUCACCCGAGGUCAGGAGUUUGUGACCAGCCCAGCCAACAUGGUGAAACCCCGUCUACUAAAAAUACAAAAAUUAGGCUGGGCGCGGUGGCUCACGCCUGUAAUCCCAGCACAUUGUGGGGCUGAGGCAGGUGGCCUGGGCGACUGAGCGAGACUCCAUCUAAAAGAAGAAAGAAAAACAAAACACGAGGCCGGGUGCGAUGGCUCACGCCUGUAAUCCCAGCACUUCGGGAGGCCGAGGCCGGCAGAUCAUGAGGUCAGGAGAUCAAGACCAUCCUGGCUAACACAGUGAAACCCUGUCUCUACUAAAAAUAUAAAAAAAAAAAAAUUAUCCGGGUGUAGUGGCGGGCGCCUGUAGUCCCAGCUACUGGGGAGGCUGAGGCAGGAGAAUGGUGUGAACCCGGGAGGCGGAGCUUGCAGUGAGCCGAGACGGCACCACUGCACUCCAGCCUGGGCGACAGGGCGAGACCCCGUCUCAAAAAAAAAAAAAAAGAAAAAAAAUACGAAAGAAACUUAGUGCCACUGAAAUGCAGUGGAGUGGGUUUACAGAAAAUGUGAGAGUGAGGAGGGCUGUUGGGAUAAGGGAAGGGUCUUUAGGUGAGCUUCCUCUUGCUGCUCCGGGUGGAGCUGGGGCGGGGUUCUUCAUUAACUCACAGACAUUUCCCUGGAGCCCCUGAGCUCUAGUGCCAACCUCGUGCCUCUGGGGUCCCUGCUUUCUGUUUUGCAGAUUGUUUAAUCAUCGUCAUUAGCGAGUAUUUACCAUGCACUUCCCACGUGCUAGUCCCUGAGCCAGGGCCAGGGAACCCAGGGAGGGCACGGGGGGACACGAGGGCCGGCUGGGGACAUAGGGCGAGGCCGGCCGGACCCCAGGUUGCUGUGAUGCUGUGACUGUGUAUGGGCACCCCCUUUCCCUGGGCUGGAAGGGAUGCCUGGUGGAGGCGUCUGCUCUGCGGGCACCCACAGGACCCCCCUUUGCCUACAGCCGCCCCCGGUGGUUGGGUGGGAGGUUGCAUGCUAGCAUCCUCUUGCUGGUCCGGGGUCAUGAUACUGGUAGAGCCACCUGGUCCCCUCUCCUGGGUUGGUGUCAGAGCUUCACCCUCGGAAGGGAUCAUCCUGUGCCUGUCUCCUGAGGCUCCCGUAACAAAUGACAACACGCCGGGGUGAAAGCAACAGAGAUGCGUCCCCUACUAGCUGUGGAGGCCACACAUCUGAGGUCAUGGUGUCAUUCACCGUGCUCCCUCUGGAGGCUGCAGGGAGGACCCUUCCUGCUUUCUCCAGCUUCCAGGGGCUCCAGUUGUCCUUGGUCUGUGACUGUGUCGCUCCAGCACAUUUUUUUUUUCUUGAUACAGUGUCUUGCUCUCUUCCCAGGCUGGAGUGCAGUGGUGUGAUCACAGCUCACUAUAGCCUCAGCCUCCCGGGCUCAAGAGAUCCUCCGGCCUCAGCCUCCCAAGUAGCUGGGACUACAGGUGUGCGCCACCAUGCCUGGCUAUUUUUACUGUUAUUAUUAUUAUUAUUAUUCUUUUGAGAUGGAGUCUCACUCUGUUGCCCAGGCUGGAGUGCAGUGGCACCAUCUCAGCUCACUGCAAGCCCCACCUCCUGGGUUCACGCCAUUCUCCUCUCUCAGCUUCCCGAGUAGCUGGUACUACAGGCGCCCACCACCACACGUGGCUAAUUUUUUUGUAUUUUUACUAGAGACGGGGUUUCACCAUGUGUUAGCCAAGAUGGGCACAAUCUUCUGACCUCGUGAUCUGCCGGCCUCGGCCUCCCAAAGUGCUGGGAUUAUAGGCAUGAGUAUUAUUAUUAUUUUUUGAGACAGAGUCUCACUCUGUCACCCAGGCUGGAAUGCAGUGGCACAAGCUUGGCUCACUGCAACCUCUGCCUUCCGGGUUCAAGCAAUUCUGCCUCAGCCUCCCAAGUAGUUGGGAUUACAGGCUCCUGCCACCACGCCUGGCUAAUUUUUGUAUUUUCAGUAGAAAUGGGGUUUCACCAUGUUAGCCAGGAUGGUCUUGAUCUCCUGACCUCAUGAUUUGCCCACCUCAGCCUUCCAAAGUGCGGGGAUUACAGGCGUGAGCCACUGCACCCGGCCUUUAUUAUUAUUUUUUUUUGAGACGGAGUUUCGCUCUUGUUGCCCAGACUGGAGUACAGUGGCAGGAUCUUGGCUCACUGCAGCCUCUGCCUGCAGGAUUCAAGCGAUUCUCCUGCCUCAGCCUCCUGAGCAGCUGGUACUACAGGAGUCCAUCACCAGGCCUAGCUAAUUUUUAUAUUUUUAUUAAAGACGGGGCUGGGCGCGUUGGCUCACACCUGUAAUCCCAGCACUUUGGGAGGCCGAGGCCGGCGGAUCACAAGGUCAGGAGAUCGAGACCAUCCUGGCUAACGCGGUGAAACCCCGUCUCUACUGAAAAUAGAAAAAAUUAGCUGGGCGUGGUGGCGGGUGCCUGUAGUCCCAGCUACUCAGGAGGCUGAGGCAGGAGAAUGGCGUGAACCUGGGAGGUGGAGCUUGCAAUGAGCUGAGAUCGCACCACUGCACUGCAGCCUGGGCAACAGAGUGAGACUCUGUCUCAAAAAAAAAAAAAGACAGGGUUUCACCAUGUUGGCCAGGCUGGUCUCGAACUCCUGGGCUCAAGUGAUCCUUCCACCUCGGCCCCCCAGUGCUGGGAUUACAGCGUGAGCCACUGGGCCUGGCCUGGUUGUAUCUUUUGGGAGGCUGCCCUUCAGCCACCACAGCCCUCAUUUCAGGUUCUUGUGGGACCCUCGACAAAGAGAUGCUUUCCACCUCCUAACCGG
RNAcentral lists this long non-coding RNA (3416 nucleotides) under Homo sapiens (human). RNAcentral's name for it is "non-protein coding lnc-MSLN-2:2". Lineage: Eukaryota; Metazoa; Chordata; Mammalia; Primates; Hominidae. The record is from RNAcentral.